CCUACGGGUGGCAGCAGUGGGGAAUAUUGCACAAUGGGGGAAACCCUGAUGCAGCGACGCCGCGUGAGUGAAGAAGUAUUUCGGUAUGUAAAGCUCUAUCAGCAGGAACGAGACAAGACGGUACCUGACUACGAAGCCCCGGUUAACUACGUGCCAGCAGCCGCGGUAAUACGUAGGGGGCAAGCGUUAUCCGGAAUCACUGGGUGGAAAGGGCGCGUAGACGGCUGUGCAAGCCAGAAGUGAAAGGCGGGGGGCCAAACCCUGGAUUGCUUUGGGAACGGUACGGCUGGAGUGCAGGAGAGGUAAGUGGAACUACAGGUGUAGCGGUAAAAUGCGUAAAUAUAUGUAAGAACACCAGUGGCGAAGGCGGCUUGCUGGGUCGAUACUGACAUUGAGGCACGAAAGCGUGGGGAGCAAACAGGAUUAGAUACCCCAGUAGUC
This 441-nucleotide ribosomal RNA is filed under the name uncultured bacterium. RNAcentral's name for it is "partial 16S ribosomal RNA". It matches the Rfam family "Bacterial small subunit ribosomal RNA", at positions 338 to 795 of the family's 1533-position model. The record is from RNAcentral.